RNAcentral lists this ribosomal RNA (2247 nucleotides) under Triticum aestivum (bread wheat). Its description in RNAcentral is "partial small subunit ribosomal RNA". Lineage: Eukaryota; Viridiplantae; Streptophyta; Magnoliopsida; Poales; Poaceae. The record is from RNAcentral.
AUGGCGGGUGUCUCAGCCGCUCUUCAGUGGUGGGAGGAGUCGCAGCUACGCAUCCUCGUCAUUGCUAGCCUGGUGAUUCAGUACAUCCUCCUCGUCGGUUCCGUCGCGCGUAGGUACCCCAUCAGAUCCUGGUUUAGACCCAUCAUCUGGCUGGCAUACCUUGGCAGUGAUGCCAUUGCAAUCUAUGGGCUCGCCACCCUCUUCAACCGCCAUAGGAAGCCACAAAACGAUGGAGAUGAAGGAAUCCUGGAGCUGUUGUGGGCGCCUAUCCUCCUGAUACACCUCGGUGGACAGGACGGCAUAACCGCCUACAACAUCGAGGACAACGAGCUAUGGACGCGGCACAUCCUCACCUCAGUGUCUCAGGUCACCGUGGCUGUCUACGUCUUCUGGAAAUCAUGGCAAGGCCGCUUCCCCAAAAUUCUGCUGGCUGCUGCACAAGCGCUCUUCAUUCCCGGUAUACUCAAAUGCAUCGAGAAGCCCUUGGCUCUCAACCGAGCUAGCAUUAACAGCCUGGUGAGCUUGGGUGAGCCUAUUCGGAGGUCAAUACACACACAUAAGCUUAGGAUUGAUCCUCUUGAAGAUUUCAUUGACAAGGCAACAAGUCCUAUCGGGGCAAGUGAGUAUCUUUUAACAUCGGCCACACCGGUGGACUUUACUCCUUAUAAGCUAUUUGUGGACCUUGCAUCUCCGUCUGUUGAAGAUCGGAUUAGGGUGCUACUCUCCUUCUCAACACUUGAUGGCAACCAUGCGUAUUGUAAGCUGCAACAUUGGCUCUCCAACACCUUCCUACUCCUCUACACCAAAAAGAAGGUGUUUCCUGUGGCUUCUCUCGGACAAGUUUUUUCCUUAUUCGCUUCCCGAAAUUACUUCGAACUUAGGGCGCAGCUAGAAAAUAUUUCUUUUUAUUUUCUCCGUUUAUUAGCUUCCUACAUUCCACCCAUAGCCUUCUUCCACUACAGUAACCGAGAAGUUUAUAGUCAAGACGAUGUCAAGAUUACAUAUACCUUGCUAUACUGUACUGCUGCAUUGGAGGUUCUAGCCCCGGUCCUAACGAACAUCACAAGGGACACAGAAGAAUUCUGUCAAAGGUCAUCAGAUAUGGUGUCAACAGAAGUGAAGCCUCGAUAUCAUGAUAUGGUUUCCCAAUACAACAUUGUAGGACUCCUUGUCCGCAACAGGAAACAUUCCAAGAUGAUGAGGGUCGUCGGAGUUUUGGGAUGCGCCGACUUCCUUCAGCAACACUGGCACAUGAAGUCUUGCUCCUCAUCCUUCAGCAUUACAAAGUUAGUGCUCCAGUAUGUGAAAGAUGGGUGGAAGCACCACAUCAAAGAUGUUUCCAGUUACAGGAAGUUCAAUGACAACAGGGGCCAGUUUACUCUUGGGCAUGAAGGGUGUUACGAGGACUUGGGAUGGAGCUUGGACGGUGCAUUCGACGAGAGUGUGCUUCUUUGGCAUCUCGCCACGGAUUUCUGCUACUACGACACGGUUGUGUCUCGUUCUCACCACGGACUGCUGUGCACGCAAGAUUCAUGUCCUCAUGCUUAUGCAUGCCCUGCUUGGUGCAAAAGAUCCGGUCAUCACAAGAGGGCCAUCCAGUGCAGAGAAAUGUCCAACUACAUGAUGUAUCUACUGUUUUUGAAUCCUGAAAUGCUAAUGGCAGGAACCAGAAGAAACCUUUGCACGACCGCCUACGAUGAAUUGAAGGACAUUGUCGAGGAAAGAGAGAAAAUAGAUGGCACCAGCGUCGAAGGAGACGAGGAAAUAAGGCUUACACAGAUGAUAUAUGCUACAGUUGAUGGUGGGGGAUCUCCACCUCCGGGUUGUACCCAGCAGCAACAGGGAGGAAUUGUCCGUGAUGCUUGGAGCAUUGCCAGAGUGUUGUCCAAUCUGCCUGAAGAGAAGAUGUGGGAUGUGAUCGAAGGCGUUUGGGUGGAGAUGUUGUGCUUCUCUGCCGCUAGAUGCAGAGGAUACCUGCACGCCAAGGGUCUGGGCACAGGUGUGGAGUACCUCACCUAUGUCUGGCUCCUAUUGUACUACAUGGGGAUGGAGACUUUGGCAGCCAAACUGCAGAGGGCGGAUCAUCAUUAUCACCACAACGGAGGAGAGCAUGGGGAUGGCCCUUCAAGUUCUCAUGUCAGCACUGCCCAAGAGGAAGCAGCUGGUCCAUCAAGAUCAAAUGGUGGCGCCGAAGGUCAAUCUGCCGGUUACCAUGACAGUGAUGACAUAGUGGAAGAAAUGGUUUGA